RNAcentral lists this ribosomal RNA (449 nucleotides) under uncultured bacterium. Its description in RNAcentral is "partial 16S ribosomal RNA". It matches the Rfam family "Bacterial small subunit ribosomal RNA", at positions 29 to 523 of the family's 1533-position model. The record is from RNAcentral.
AACGAACGCUGGCGGCAUGCCUAAUACAUGCAAGUCGAACGAGAUCUUCGGAUCUAGUGGCGCACGGGUGCGUAACGCGUGGGAAUCUGCCCUUGGGUUAGGAAUAACAGCGGGAAACUGCUGCUAAUAGCGGAUGAUGACGUAAGACCAAAGCUUGAUCGCCACGGGAUGAGCCCGCGUAGGAUUAGGUAGUUGGUGGGGUAAAGGCCUACCAAGCCUACGAUCCUUAGCUGGUUUGAGAGGAGGAUCAGCCACACUGGGACUGAGACACGGCCCAGACUCCUACGGGAGGCAGCAGUAGGGAAUAUUGGACAAUGGGGGCAACCCUGAUCCAGCAAUGCCGCGUGAGUGAAGAAGGCCUUAGGGUUGUAAAGCUCUUUUACCCGGGAUGAUAAUGACAGUACCGGGAGAAUAAGCCCCGGCUAACUCCGUGCCAGCCGCCGCCGUAA